Molecule: transfer RNA, 77 nt
Filed under: Arthrobacter sp.
Lineage: Bacteria; Bacillati; Actinomycetota; Actinomycetes; Micrococcales; Micrococcaceae
Also listed under: 5 other names
Description: tRNA-Met
Rfam family: tRNA
About the family: Transfer RNA (tRNA) molecules are approximately 80 nucleotides in length. Their secondary structure includes four short double-helical elements and three loops (D, anti-codon, and T loops). Further hydrogen bonds mediate the characteristic L-shaped molecular structure. tRNAs have two regions of fundamental functional importance: the anti-codon, which is responsible for specific mRNA codon recognition, and the 3' end, to which the tRNAs corresponding amino acid is attached (by aminoacyl-tRNA synthetases). tRNAs cope with the degeneracy of the genetic code in two manners: having more than one tRNA (with a specific anti-codon) for a particular amino acid; and 'wobble' base-pairing, i.e. permitting non-standard base-pairing at the 3rd anti-codon position.
Source: RNAcentral
GGCGGUGUAGCUCAGCUGGUUAGAGCGCACGACUCAUAAUCGUGAGGUCCCCGGAUCGAGUCCGGGCACCGCUACCA